This is a non-coding RNA of Pelobates cultripes (western spadefoot toad), 240 nucleotides long. The record is from the annotation of a GenBank genome assembly. Lineage: Eukaryota; Metazoa; Chordata; Amphibia; Anura; Pelobatidae.
CCCUUUUCUCUUAACCUAUCCCUUUCAAAUAUCACGCCAUCAGAUGGAGGGAUGCUGGAUCUGGGUGAAGAACUGGACCUUGCUCCAAUAGAAAUGGAACUUCUGGUAGGUGCCAUGGGUCUUUCUUACAGAUACUCAGUAGGAGCAGAAACCAUGGUCUGUGUGGCCGGAAUGGAGCUAUUAGUAUGAUUUAAACUUUCUCUUGCCUUAACUUCCUUAGCAGGGGAAAGAUGAGUGGAG